This is a long non-coding RNA of Pseudophryne corroboree (corroboree frog), 3189 nucleotides long. RefSeq lists it as uncharacterized. The record is from RefSeq and is a predicted model, not a curated record. Lineage: Eukaryota; Metazoa; Chordata; Amphibia; Anura; Myobatrachidae. The transcript has 2 exons.
GGAAAGUUUCCAGUACGGACGAAGCACCCCAGUCAUGUGAUCGGUAAGCUGAACCAGGAAGUGAAGGAAACCAGCAAGAGAGGAGCCAGCCGCUGGGCGUGCGGCAAAGACAGGCAGAGGCGGACGCCGGGACAUGGCCCAGGAAGAAAGAUGGACCAAACCAAAAUAUAACAUGACUGAGAUCAGGAUGCCUCAGACCAUCUUCAGGCGUACUUUCUGAAGGAGGGCCAUCUUUAGGAGACUCAAUAGCAGCAGGACCAACAUCAGUAGGACCAACAUCAGUAGGACCAACAGCAGCAGGACCAUCUGCAGCAGGACCAACAGCAGCAGGACCAUCCUCAGGAGUACCAAUAACAGCAAGACCAACAUAAGGAGGAUCAACAAAUGGACUAAAGGCACCGUCUUCCAACCUACAGGAGAUGCACCUUUGAAGAAGGAGGAGCAGUAGAGUCCUGUGCCAUCUGCAUCUCACAGUUUGAGAUUGGAAAUGAAGUAACUUGUCAUCUUGCCAGCAUGCUUUCCACAUACCAUGCUUGACACAAAAGCUUGACAUUAAUACCAUCUGCCCCCUGUGUCGCGCACAAUGCUUUGAUGUGAGCAAAGUUUCCCAGCAUCAUCUCUAGAGGGAAUCAAAGAGAUAAGUACCACCAAACAUCCAGAGAAGAAAACCAAGUAAGUAUGGUGAUAGCAUGAUUGGGACUUUAAUUUGAUUGUUGUAACUAUUGUGUUAUAGUUAUUAGUUUUAUGGCUCUGUCAUUGUUUUCUUGUUUGCCUUGUUUCCCCUUGUCUACCCUACUUGGGAACUAGUUAAUCGCCGCUGUUGGCAGCGGAAGUCUUCAGGGAUUUUGCCUUUUCCGUGAACUGAUGGACUGAAUUUGUCAAAUUGAAAUUCGGCUAAUUGGCAAUAAUAAUAAUAAUAAUAAUAAUAAUUUCUCAGUCCCUCAGCAGGUUUUUGGUUUCACCUCUCGCCGAGUUUUACUUGCGUUAUUCUUGCUCUCCCCCAGCCCCCUUCCAUCUCUCCCCCCUACUUUUUUUCUCUGCCCAACUCAUUCCUGGUUGACCCUCAUAUGUGUUUAUGUUGCUUCUAAUUGGCACUAAAGCUUAUCUUGAUUCAGCUUUUUGGCAUUCAAUUAAACAAAAUAUAUAUUUUUGGCAGCUCCUCCAUUUCAUUAAGUAUUAAUUUCAUAUCAAUAUAAUUAUUAUUUCUUUCUCUACCUCCUUAUAGAUGUUACAUUUGAUUCCCUUAAAGUGUGUAUUGUCGGCCACUCAUAUGUUUUUUUUUGGCUGCUAAGUUCAUGGCUUCCAAUGGUGCUCGUUCCAUUGGUCCUCUGGUCAGAUUGUGUUUGGUGGAUUUGUAUAAGAGAUAUAAUGUUGUGGACUUUGCAAUAUAAGCUUUUGAAUGUUGCCAAGCAUUAUAUUCUCAAGGUCUUGCUUAUUCAUAUAGGUAGUAAUGAUCUUGGAAAGAUGACUGGUUUGGAUUGUGGAGCUCCAUGGUGAAUGAUUUUGCUAGUAUUUCAUUAGCUUGGCCCUCUUAUAAAAUCAUUUGGUCAUUUAUUGUGUCUAGACUUGUCUGGUGUAAUGUGCAUGAUUACAAUGCAAUUGGCGAAGCCAGGAAUAAGGUGAAUACAGUGGUCACAAAAUUUGUAUUGGCCAAAGGUGGUAGUGUGGUUAGGCAGUCCAGGAUUAAUUUUUGUUAUUUUUAUCUGUAUAAUUCUGAUGAGGUUAUAAAACAGAGGAGGGGCGUUUGCUUUUUGUUGUUGUUGAACGUCAGGUCGCCUCUUUGGGUGUAAAUUUCCGUGCGUUGUUUAGUUAUUAUAGUUUUUUGGCGCGCUCACCUUCCUUGACUUGUUAGUUUGCUAGACCACUCUAUGUAUUUGUGAUACCCGCGUUUGGGGUAUCCCUUCUGCUAGUUAAACCAGUUGCAGAUGCACUGUGAGGAUUAAAAUCCUUUUUACACUGGUUGCAAAGCAACUAUGGCAACCAGGAGAGGAAUAUGUAUAGCACUAGGACCCUGGGCUUUCCAUCAGGAUCCCUGCAGAGCGGGAAGCUGGGAGCGCUCUGAUUGGCCGUGUUGUGUGGGGAGAGAAGCAGGGAGGAGAACUGCAGCGAGCAGAGAGAGAGAGCAGCAUGGCAGUGGAAUAGGAGGCAGUGUGUCAUGUGUGGGUGUGAAGAGCUGUACGCGGAGGUCUGGAGGCGCGCUGCGCUGGGAGAGUCUGGGCAUCGAGAGACGGCUGUCAUCCUGAAAAGCAGCAGUGAGAAGUGACCGGCAGGAGCUGGCAACAGCAGCAGAUAAUGCAGGUACUCUACUUCACCCCAGACAGCCCCCACAUAUGGGCACCCAGACCAACAGUGAUCACCCUGACAGCUUGCAACAUCACAGCCCCUUGGGACAGAUCACAGCAGGACUCUAUGUACAAGGAGAGGGACACGUGUGAUUUAUUUGGAGCUGCCUGCCAUUGUACCAGAGAGAGCCUUAAGGGAUAGGGUUGUGUGAAACCCUCUGCUUCCCCUUACCACUGCAAUUGCAAGGAAAACACGAAGUGACACUUAUCCCUAGACUGUUUGAGCUGCAGCACAAUGUGUGUGCCAGAAUUGGGUCAUUUGCUCUGUGACCCACUGUAUGUGAAAUGACUUACUCCACAGCGCCCUCUAUUUGAAGCAUUGCUAGACUGUGAAAUGACUUACUCCACAGCGCCCUCUAUUUGAAGCAUUGCUAGACUGUGAAAUGACUUACUCCACAGCGCCCUCUAUUUGAAGCAUUGCUAUACUGGGAUAUGACUUACUCCACAGCGCCCUCUAUUGGAAACUGGUGCUAUACAUGGCAAGUAGCUGCUCCACGGCACCACCCGUUGGAUUACAAAUACUGUGCACAGUGCGAACUCAUUCUACAGCACCCCCUGUAGGACAGUGAUAUAGCUGGAACAUUUUGUCAGCAGCAUAAACUGAACAUAUCCAAUCUAGCGCCAUCUAGUGACCCGUCAGUAUAACGCAUGCAUACUCAUGAAACAGCUGUAUAAGACGUCUGAGUGUUGAAAUUCUGAAAUGCUCUUGUGUUAAUGUUAUGUUAUAUUUUUAGUAUGUGACUAAAAGUAUCGUGGCUUAUUGAAUUGCACUGAACUUUACUAAGAGGUGAAUUUAGUCACAUGGACCAGUGACUAACCCUGCCUAUAAUAAAUCUUUGUUACUGUA